CAGUAGCCGCGGUAAUACGAAGGGGGCUAGCGUUGCUCGGAAUGACUGGGCGUAAAGGGCGCGUAGGCGGUCACGAUAGUCAGAUGUGAAAUUUCUGGGCUUAACCUGGGGACUGCAUUUGAUACUGUGUGGCUUGAGUAUGGAAGAGGGUCGUGGAAUUCCCAGUGUAGAGGUGAAAUUCGUAGAUAUUGGGAAGAACACCGGUGGCGAAGGCGGCGACCUGGUCCAUAACUGACGCUGAGGCGCGAAAGCGUGGGGAGCAAACAGGAUUAGAUACCCCGGUAGUCCCUGUCUCUUAUAU
This 301-nucleotide ribosomal RNA is filed under the name uncultured bacterium. RNAcentral describes it as "partial 16S ribosomal RNA". It matches the Rfam family "Bacterial small subunit ribosomal RNA", at positions 509 to 809 of the family's 1533-position model. The record is from RNAcentral.